GCAAGUCGAGCGCGAAAGCACUUCGGUGUGAGUAGAGCGGCGGACGGGUGAGUAACGCGUAGGAAUCUACCUGGUAGUGGGGGACAACUCGGGGAAACUCGAGCUAAUACCGCAUACGCCCUACGGGGGAAAGCGGGGGACCUUCGGGCCUCGCGCUAUCAGAUGAGCUUGCGUUGGAUUAGCUUGUUGGUGAGGUAAUGGCUCACCAAGGCUACGAUCCAUAGCUGGUCUGAGAGGAUGAUU
This 243-nucleotide ribosomal RNA is filed under the name uncultured bacterium. RNAcentral's name for it is "partial 16S ribosomal RNA". It matches the Rfam family "Bacterial small subunit ribosomal RNA", at positions 57 to 305 of the family's 1533-position model. The record is from RNAcentral.